GCGCUCUUAGCUCAAUGGAUAGAGCACCUGUCUUCGGAACAGGGGGUUGGGGGUUCGACUCCCUCAGAGCGCA
This 73-nucleotide transfer RNA is filed under the name Candidatus Dojkabacteria bacterium. RNAcentral's name for it is "tRNA-Arg". It matches the Rfam family "tRNA". From Rfam's summary of the family: Transfer RNA (tRNA) molecules are approximately 80 nucleotides in length. The record is from RNAcentral.